GAGCUCCUGGCGCAGUGGUUAGAGCUUUUGACUUAUAACCAACUGGUCCCGAGUUCAAGCCUCGGGCGCCGCA
This 73-nucleotide transfer RNA is filed under the name Schistocephalus solidus. It matches the Rfam family "tRNA". From Rfam's summary of the family: Transfer RNA (tRNA) molecules are approximately 80 nucleotides in length. Their secondary structure includes four short double-helical elements and three loops (D, anti-codon, and T loops). Lineage: Eukaryota; Metazoa; Platyhelminthes; Cestoda; Diphyllobothriidea; Diphyllobothriidae. The record is from Rfam by way of RNAcentral.